AUUGAACGCUGGCGGCGUGCUUAACACAUGCAAGUCGAACGUGAAAGUCCUUCGGGAUGAGUAAAGUGGCGCACGGGUGAGUAACGCGUGGAUAAUCUACCUUCAAGAUGGGGAUAACGGCUGGAAACGGUCGCUAAUACCGAAUAAGCUGUAGGUUUUGAAUUUACGGUAAAGAUGGCCUCUGCAUGCAAGCUAUCGCUUGAAGAUGAGUCCGCGUCCCAUUAGCUGGUUGGCGGGGUAACGGCCCACCAAGGCGACGAUGGGUAGCCGGUCUGAGAGGAUGAUCGGCCACACUGGGACUGGAACACGGCCCAGACUCCUACGGGAGGCAGCAGUGGGGAAUAUUGCGCAAUGGGCGAAAGCCUGACGCAGCGACGCCGCGUGAGGGAUGAAGGUCUUCGGAUCGUAAACCUCUGUCAGGAGGGAAGAAGUGGUUAUAUGCGAAUAGUGUAUGACU
RNAcentral lists this ribosomal RNA (457 nucleotides) under uncultured bacterium. Its description in RNAcentral is "bacterial SSU rRNA". It matches the Rfam family "Bacterial small subunit ribosomal RNA", at positions 30 to 474 of the family's 1533-position model. The record is from RNAcentral.